RNAcentral lists this ribosomal RNA (603 nucleotides) under uncultured soil bacterium. RNAcentral describes it as "bacterial SSU rRNA". It matches the Rfam family "Bacterial small subunit ribosomal RNA", at positions 56 to 648 of the family's 1533-position model. The record is from RNAcentral.
UGCAGUCGAACGGCAGCACAGGAUAGCUUGCUAUCCGGGUGGCGAGUGGCGGACGGGUGAGUAACGCGUAGGAAUCUACCUUUUCGUGGGGGAUAACCCGGGGAAACUCGGGCUAAUACCGCAUACGCCCUACGGGGGAAAGCGGGGGACCUUCGGGCCUCGCGCGGAACGAUGAGCCUGCGUCCUAUCAGGUAGUUGGUGAGGUAAUGGCUCACCAAGCCGACGACGGGUAGCUGGUCUGAGAGGACGACCAGCCACACUGGGACUGAGACACGGCCCAGACUCCUACGGGAGGCAGCAGUGGGGAAUAUUGGACAAUGGGGGAAACCCUGAUCCAGCAAUACCGCGUGUGUGAAGAAGGCCUUCGGGUUGUAAAGCACUUUUAGCAGGAAAGAAAGGCCGUGCGCUAAUACCGCAUGGUUCUGACGUUACUUGCAGAAAAAGCACCGGGCUAACUCCGUGCCAGCAGCCGCGGUAAUACGGAAGGUGCAAGCGUUAAUCCGAAUUACUGGGCGUAAAGCGCGCGUAGGCGGCUUGUUUAGUCGGAUGUGAAAUCCCCGGGCUCAACCUGGGAACUGGCUUCAAUCCUGGCUGGCUAAAGUG